This 420-nucleotide ribosomal RNA is filed under the name Triticum aestivum (bread wheat). RNAcentral's name for it is "partial small subunit ribosomal RNA". Lineage: Eukaryota; Viridiplantae; Streptophyta; Magnoliopsida; Poales; Poaceae. The record is from RNAcentral.
AUCAUAAUUAUUCUUGAGUCUCUUCCUGAAGAGUUUGAACAAUUUAAGGUCAACUAUAACUCUCUAAAGGAAAAAUGGCCACUCUCUGAGAUGACCGCAAGGAUCGUCCAGGAGGAAGAAAGGAUCAUGAGGCAGAAGAAAGACCAUGUCUUUCAUGUUGGCUCUAACAAGAGAAAGCAUGACGGACAAGGUUUCCCUAAGCCUCAGAAAAGGCAAGUCAAGAAAGAAGGCACUAAGCCAUUCAACCCUAAGGCAUUCAAGGGUAAAGAAGCCGGUGGUUCUUCUUCUGCUCCUAGCAGCUCCACUGCUGGAGAAAAUGCUUGUAACUUCUGCAAAGAAGAGGGACACUAUCAAAGGGACUGCCCAGGCUUUCUAAAAUGGAUGAACAAAAGAGGUAUUGAUGAAAUUACUUUUGUAGAU